Molecule: ribosomal RNA, 521 nt
Filed under: uncultured bacterium
Lineage: Bacteria
Description: bacterial SSU rRNA
Rfam family: Bacterial small subunit ribosomal RNA
Source: RNAcentral
UCAGGACGAACGCUGGCGGCGUGCCUAAUACAUGCAAGUCGAACGGUCUUUCUAUGGAAGCUUGCUUCCACUGAGAAGAUAGUGGCGAACGGGUGAGUAACACGUGGGUAACCUGCCCAUAAGAGGGGGAUAACAUCCGGAAACGGGUGCUAAUACCGCAUAGUUUUCUUGAUCGCAUGAUCGGGAAAGGAAAGACGGCCUUUGUGCUGUCGCUUAUGGAUGGACCCGCGGCGUAUUAGUUAGUUGGUGGGGUAACGGCUCACCAAGACGAUGAUACGUAGCCGACCUGAGAGGGUGAUCGGCCACAUUGGGACUGAGACACGGCCCAAACUCCUACGGGAGGCAGCAGUAGGGAAUCUUCCGCAAUGGACGAAAGUCUGACGGAGCAACGCCGCGUGAGUGAAGAAAGGUUUUCGGAUCGUAAAACUCUGUUGUCAGAGAAGAACAAGUUGGAGAGUAACUGCUCCAGCCUUGACGGUAUCUGACCAGAAAGCCACGGCUAACUACGUGCCAGCCGCCGC